Molecule: long non-coding RNA, 208 nt
Filed under: Carica papaya (papaya)
Lineage: Eukaryota; Viridiplantae; Streptophyta; Magnoliopsida; Brassicales; Caricaceae
Description: long non-coding RNA (CPAP_LNC007101)
Source: RNAcentral
AAAAUGUAAAAAUGGCCUUCGAUGAGACACUUUCCGAUUCCCGUUCUGCAUAAUUCUUCCACCAUUAUAAUCGCAAUUUCGUUCUCUACAGGUUAACCGAAGCACAACACUCAAUCGCGAAGAUGAGCUGGUGGAGCUGCUGUACCGGAGAAACCCGCCGCCGAUAAGUUUCGAUUUUUUCAACUUUUUUAGUAACCAAAGCGCAUUA